This 488-nucleotide ribosomal RNA is filed under the name Abiotrophia sp. canine oral taxon 229. Its description in RNAcentral is "bacterial SSU rRNA". It matches the Rfam family "Bacterial small subunit ribosomal RNA", at positions 9 to 476 of the family's 1533-position model. Lineage: Bacteria; Bacillati; Bacillota; Bacilli; Lactobacillales; Aerococcaceae. The record is from RNAcentral.
GAGUUUGAUUCUGGCUCAGGACGAACGCUGGCGGCGUGCCUAAUACAUGCAAGUCGAACGAACGGAAGUUAGAACUUGUUCUAAUGGAAGUGAGUGGCGAACGGGUGAGUAACACGUGGGUAACCUACCUUUAAGCGGGGGAUAACAGUCGGAAACGACUGCUAAUACCGCAUAGGACAUAGCGUCACAUGACGCAGUGAGGAAAGACGGUUUCGGCUGUCACUUAGAGAUGGACCCGCGGUGCAUUAGCUAGUUGGUAAGGUAACGGCUUACCAAGGCGAUGAUGCAUAGCCGACCUGAGAGGGUGAUCGGCCACAUUGGGACUGAGACACGGCCCAAACUCCUACGGGAGGCAGCAGUAGGGAAUCUUCCGCAAUGGACGAAAGUCUGACGGAGCAACGCCGCGUGAGUGAAGAAGGUCUUCGGAUCGUAAAGCUCUGUUGUUAGAGAAGAAGAGUUAUGGGAGUAACUGACCAUAAUGUGACGUU